CGGAUAAAAGGUACUCCGGGGAUAACAGGCUGAUACCGCCCAAGAGUUCAUAUCGACGGCGGUGUUUGGCACCUCGAUGUCGGCUCAUCACAUCCUGGGGCUGAAGUAGGUCCCAAGGGUAUGGCUGUUCGCCAUUUAAAGUGGUACGCGAGCUGGGUUUAGAACGUCGUGAGACAGUUCGGUCCCUAUCUGCCGUGGGCGCUGGAGAACUGAGGGGGGCUGCUCCUAGUACGAGAGGACCGGAGUGGACGCAUCACUGGUGUUCGGGUUGUCAUGCCAAUGGCACUGCCCGGUAGCUAAAUGCGGAAGAGAUAAGUGCUGAAAGCAUCUAAGCACGAAACUUGCCCCGAGAUGAGUUCUCCCUGAGACUUUAGGUCUCCUGAAGGAACGUUGAAGACGACGACGUUGAUAGGCCGGGUGUGUAAGCGCAGCGAUGCGUUGAGCUAACCGGUACUAAUGAACCGUGAGGCUUAACCUU
This 478-nucleotide ribosomal RNA is filed under the name Salmonella enterica subsp. enterica serovar Typhi. RNAcentral describes it as "partial 23S ribosomal RNA". It matches the Rfam family "Bacterial large subunit ribosomal RNA", at positions 2453 to 2925 of the family's 2925-position model. The record is from RNAcentral. Lineage: Bacteria; Pseudomonadati; Pseudomonadota; Gammaproteobacteria; Enterobacterales; Enterobacteriaceae.